UCGAGAAUCUUCGGCAAUGGACGCAAGUCUGACCGAGCGACGCCGCGUGUGGGAUGAAGGCCUUCGGGUUGUAAACCACUGUCAGAGAGGAUGAAAUACUGGUGGGUACUCCCAUCAGCUUGACAUAUUCUCAGAGGAAGGACGGGCUAAGUUCGUGCCAGCAGCCGCGGUAAGACGAACCGUCCAAACGUUAUUCGGAAUCACUGGGCUUAAAGGGUGCGUAGGCGGCGCGGAAAGUAGGGUGUGAAAUCCCUCGGCUCAACCGAGGAACUGCGCUCUAAACUACCGUGCUCGAGGGAGAUAGAGGUGAGCGGAACUUGGGGUGGAGCGGUGAAAUGCGUUGAUAUCCUAAGGAACACCGGUGGCGAAAGCGGCUCACUGGAUCUCUUCUGACGCUGAGGCACGAAAGCUAGGGUAGCGAACGGGAUUAGAUACCCCCGUAGUCC
RNAcentral lists this ribosomal RNA (446 nucleotides) under uncultured bacterium. Its description in RNAcentral is "bacterial SSU rRNA". It matches the Rfam family "Bacterial small subunit ribosomal RNA", at positions 355 to 796 of the family's 1533-position model. The record is from RNAcentral.